AAUGGACGAAAGCCUGACGGAGCAAUACCGCGUGAGGGACGACGGCUUUUGGGUUGUAAACCUCUUUUCCCUGGGAAGAAGAUCAGACGGUACCAGGGGAAUCAGCAUCGGCUAACUUCGUGCCAGCAGCCGCGGUAAUACGAGGGAUGCAAGCGUUAUCCGGAAUUAUUGGGCGUAAAGCGUCCGCAGGUGGCUCUGUAAGUCUGUCGUUAAAGAAUGGAGCUUAACUCCAUACAGGCGAUGGAAACUACAAGGCUAGAGUUUGGUAGGGGUCACGGGAAUUCCUAGUGUAGCGGUGAAAUGCGUAGAUAUUAGGAAGAACACCAGCGGCGAAAGCGCGUGACUGGGCCAGUACUGACACUCAUGGACGAAAGCUAGGGGAGCG
RNAcentral lists this ribosomal RNA (385 nucleotides) under uncultured cyanobacterium. Its description in RNAcentral is "bacterial SSU rRNA". It matches the Rfam family "Bacterial small subunit ribosomal RNA", at positions 370 to 770 of the family's 1533-position model. The record is from RNAcentral. Lineage: Bacteria; Bacillati; Cyanobacteriota.